Molecule: ribosomal RNA, 485 nt
Filed under: uncultured bacterium
Lineage: Bacteria
Description: bacterial SSU rRNA
Rfam family: Bacterial small subunit ribosomal RNA
Source: RNAcentral
GAUGAACGCUAGCGGCAGGCCUAACACAUGCAAGUCGAGGGGCAGCACGGUGUAGCAAUACACUGGUGGCGACCGGCGCACGGGUGCGUAACGCGUAUGCAACCUACCCAUAACAGGGGGAUAACACUGAGAAAUUGGUACUAAUACCCCAUAACAUCAGGACCGGCAUCGGUUCUGGUUGAAAACUCCGGUGGUUAUGGAUGGGCAUGCGUUGUAUUAGCUGGUUGGUGAGGUAACGGCUCACCAAGGCAACGAUACAUAGGGGGACUGAGAGGUUAACCCCCCACAUUGGUACUGAGACACGGACCAAACUCCUACGGGAGGCAGCAGUGAGGAAUAUUGGUCAAUGGACGAGAGUCUGAACCAGCCAAGUAGCGUGAAGGAUGAAGGUCCUACGGAUUGUAAACUUCUUUUAUAAGGGAAUAAACCCUCCCACGUGUGGGAGCUUGUAUGUACCUUAUGAAUAAGCAUCGGCUAACUCCGUG